RNAcentral lists this ribosomal RNA (449 nucleotides) under uncultured bacterium. RNAcentral's name for it is "bacterial SSU rRNA". It matches the Rfam family "Bacterial small subunit ribosomal RNA", at positions 355 to 796 of the family's 1533-position model. The record is from RNAcentral.
UGGGGAAUAUUGGACAAUGGGCGCAAGCCUGAUCCAGCAACGCCGCGUGGAGGAUGAAGGUCUUCGGAUCGUAAACUCCUGUCAGACGGGACGAAGGUUCGACGGCGAACAGUCGACGAGCUUGACGGUACCGUCAGAGGAAGCCCCGGCUAACUCCGUGCCAGCAGCCGCGGUAAUACGGAGGGGGCGAGCGUUAUUCGGAAUUAUUGGGCGUAAAGGGCGCGUAGGCGGCGCGAUAAGUCAAAGGUGAAAUCCCUCGGCUCAACUGAGGAACUGCCUUUGAAACUGUCGAGCUUGAGGCCGGGAGGGGGUAGCGGAAUUCCCAGUGUAGCGGUGAAAUGCGUAGAUAUUGGGAGGAACACCAGUGGCGAAGGCGGCUACCUGGACCGGUUCUGACGCUGAUGCGCGAAAGCGUGGGUAGCAAACAGGAUUAGAUACCCCCGUAGUCC